RNAcentral lists this ribosomal RNA (512 nucleotides) under uncultured bacterium. RNAcentral's name for it is "bacterial SSU rRNA". It matches the Rfam family "Bacterial small subunit ribosomal RNA", at positions 15 to 518 of the family's 1533-position model. The record is from RNAcentral.
GAUCAUGGCUCAGGAUGAACGCUAGCGACAGGCUAACACAUGCAAGUCGAGGGCAGCAUAAAAGUAGCAAGUACUUGGUGGCGACCGGCGCACGGGUGAGUAACGCGUAUGCAACCUACCUAUCGAGAGGGGAAUAACCCCGGCGAAAGUCGGACUAAUACCGCAUAAAACAGGGGGCACCGCAUGGUGAUAUUUGUUAAAGAGAUUCGCUGAUAGAUGGGCAUGCGUUCCAUUAGGUAGUUGGUGAGGUAACGGCUCACCAAGCCGACGAUGGAUAGGGGAACUGAGAGGUUGGUCCCCCACACUGGUACUGAGACACGGACCAGACUCCUACGGGAGGCAGCAGUGAGGAAUAUUGGUCAAUGGGCGAGAGCCUGAACCAGCCAAGUCGCGUGAAGGAAGAAGGAUCUAUGGUUCGUAAACUUCUUUUGCAGGGGAAUAAAGUGCAGGACGUGUCCUGUUUUGUAUGUACCCUGAGAAUAAGGAUCGGCUAACUCCGUGCCAGCCGCCGC